RNAcentral lists this ribosomal RNA (491 nucleotides) under uncultured bacterium. RNAcentral describes it as "partial 16S ribosomal RNA". It matches the Rfam family "Bacterial small subunit ribosomal RNA", at positions 29 to 507 of the family's 1533-position model. The record is from RNAcentral.
AGUGAACGCUGGCGGUAGGCCUAACACAUGCAAGUCGAACGGCAGCACAGUAAGAGCCUGCUCUUACGGGUGGCGAGUGGCGGACGGGUGAGGAAUACAUCGGAAUCUACUUUUUCGUGGGGGAUAACGUAGGGAAACUUACGCUAAUACCGCAUACGACCUACGGGUGAAAGCAGUGGAUCUUCGGACCUUGCGCGAUUGAAUGAGCCGAUGUCGGAUUAGCUAGUUGGCGGGGUAAAGGCCCACCAAGGCGACGAUCCGUAGCUGGUCUGAGAGGAUGUUCGGCCACCUUGAACUUAGACCCCGUUCCGGCCUCCUCCGGAGGCCGGCGGGGGGAAUUUUUGGCCAAUGGCGGAAGCCCUAACCCGGCCAUCCCCGUUGGUGGAGAAAGGCUUUCGGUUUUUAAGGCCUUUUGUUGGGAAAGAAAAGCAGCAGGUUAAUACCCCGCUGUUCUGACGGUACCCAAAGAAUAAGCACCGGCUAACUUCGUG